AUGUACCGCUCGUACACUGCGGUUCUGAGCGCGCCGUGCGCACCUACUUGACGACUGCUCGCUACGUUUUGUUAGCC
RNAcentral lists this small RNA (77 nucleotides) under Xanthomonas oryzae pv. oryzae. Its description in RNAcentral is "sX9". It matches the Rfam family "Xanthomonas sRNA sX9". The record is from RNAcentral. Lineage: Bacteria; Pseudomonadati; Pseudomonadota; Gammaproteobacteria; Lysobacterales; Lysobacteraceae.